CUCCAGACUCCUACGGGAGGCAGCAGUGGGGGAUAUUGGACAAUGGGGGAAACCCUGAUCCAGCGAUGCCGCGUGAGGGAAGAAGGUUUUCGGAUUGUAAACCUCUGUGGACAGGGACGAUAAUGACGGUACCUGUCAAGAAAGCCACGGCUAACUACGUGCCAGCAGCCGCGGUAAUACGUAGGGGGCAAGCGUUAUCCGGAUUUACUGGGUGUAAAGGGAGCGUAGACGGCAGAGCAAGUCUGAAGUGAAAGCCCGCGGCCCAACUGCGGGACUGCUUUGGAAACUGCCCGGCUAGAGUGCUGGAGAGGUAAGCGGAAUUCCUAGUGUAGCGGUGAAAUGCGUAGAUAUUAGGAGGAACACCAGUGGCGAAGGCGGCUUACUGGACUGUAACUGACGUUGAGGCUCGAAAGCGUGGGGAGCAAACAGGAUUAGAUACCCUAGUU
Molecule: ribosomal RNA, 446 nt
Filed under: uncultured bacterium
Lineage: Bacteria
Description: bacterial SSU rRNA
Rfam family: Bacterial small subunit ribosomal RNA
Source: RNAcentral